This 104-nucleotide small nuclear RNA is filed under the name Cervus elaphus hippelaphus. Lineage: Eukaryota; Metazoa; Chordata; Mammalia; Artiodactyla; Cervidae. The record is from RNAcentral.
GCUCACUUCAGCAACACUUACACUAAAAUUGGAACAAUACACAGAAAACAACAUGGCUCCUGUGCACAAGUGGUGUGCACAUUUGUGGGGUUUUGCAUUUUUUU